Exaiptasia diaphana is the source of this 279-nucleotide long non-coding RNA. RefSeq lists it as uncharacterized. The transcript has 3 exons. The record is from RefSeq and is a predicted model, not a curated record. NCBI's taxonomy places the organism in Eukaryota, Metazoa, Cnidaria, Anthozoa, Actiniaria, Aiptasiidae.
AGAAUCAUGCACGUGUGAAAAUAAAGAUGUCCUGCUGUAUGUUGACGAGAAGUUUAAUGAUGUCAAUGUAACCAAGGAAAGUUUCCUUAUGGAUAUCCUCGCGAAAAGCGCACUCAAAAUGACAAACAGAAGGAUUGUAUUCGAGUAUAUAAGGAAAACCUACGAAAGGAAUAAACAACGCCUGUUUCCAGUAACAGCCCAAAACGACGAGGAAACCUCCAUUUUCAUCUUUAUGUUGAUGUUUCUUAUCGAAGGACAUGACAUUUGGUAUGACAAUAA